GACGAACGCUGGCGGCGUGCUUAACACAUGCAAGUCGAACGGAAAGGCCCUGCUUUUGUGGGGUGCUCGAGUGGCGAACGGGUGAGUAACACGUGAGUAACCUGCCCUUGACUUUGGGAUAACUUCAGGAAACUGGGGCUAAUACCGGAUAGGAGCUCCUGCUGCAUGGUGGGGGUUGGAAAGUUUCGGCGGUUGGGGAUGGACUCGCGGCUUAUCAGCUUGUUGGUGGGGUAGUGGCUUACCAAGGCUUUGACGGGUAGCCGGCCUGAGAGGGUGACCGGCCACAGAGGGACUGAGAUACGGCCCAGACGGCUACGGGAGGAAGCAGUGGGAAAUAGUGCGCAAUGGGCGGAAGCCGGAUGCAGCAACGCCGCGUGCGAGAUGACGGCCUUCGGGGUGUAAACCGCUUUCGCGUGUGACGAAGCGUGAGUGACGGUAAUGGGUAAAGAAGCACCGGCUAACUACGUG
This 468-nucleotide ribosomal RNA is filed under the name uncultured bacterium. RNAcentral describes it as "partial 16S ribosomal RNA". It matches the Rfam family "Bacterial small subunit ribosomal RNA", at positions 28 to 507 of the family's 1533-position model. The record is from RNAcentral.